Long non-coding RNA from Mesocricetus auratus (golden hamster), 4177 nucleotides. RefSeq lists it as uncharacterized. The record is from RefSeq and is a predicted model, not a curated record. The transcript has 3 exons. NCBI's taxonomy places the organism in Eukaryota, Metazoa, Chordata, Mammalia, Rodentia, Cricetidae.
AGUCUGAGGGAGUUUUCAGAAUGUAGACCCAUCCUCAGACUAUUGUUCAUCUUUGCAUUGGAGAAAUAAUAGCUGUGGUUUUCUUGGCUCUAGAAAUGCCUGCCAAUGGCGUUAUGUAUUGAACAUGACUAUGGCCUUUCCAUAAGUGGAGAGACAUUGCUCACGAUGGACAGCAAUAAACACUCCACUUUACUAUUACAGUGUCUGAAUGGCCUCAUAAUCAGAGCUCAUUGUCUCUUCUUUGCAUGGCCACAGUCUACUCCAUCGGGCUCAUAAGAAGGCAUGGAGCUCCAAGAGAAGAAACUUGGCACAGAAUCCCACCCCUGUGCCUCCUCCUCUACGAGCUAAGGAAGGCAUUCUCUAUGGCUCUAUUCAGGUCCGCAGGCAGAGAGCUUGGUCCACAGAGAGGCAGGCUUGCUGUUCAGGUGUCUCCUUCUCUUGCCAAGUCUUCUCACUCCAGUCUCCUCUUUAUCACACUCUAGAGACACCUACCUCCCUGGGAUUUACAUAAGCUGGAGCAAAGUGCUCUCCAGCUAAGAAUAUAACCACCGCCUAACCCUGGGCACUGUGCCUGGGAAGUGAGGAGACUGACUCCCUGUACCUCUGACUCAGUGAAGAGACAAAUGCAUGAGGAAACUACUGGAUUAAUGUUGAGGGGGAGGGGGAACCUGGUGUUUUUAGCACAGGACGGCAGAGCUUGCUUCUAAGAAGUCCUAGAGGGUAGAAGCUUCUAUUUAAGCUCCUUUUCUUGAAUGCCUCAGACAUCUUUGGCAGUGUAGGUUUUUAAGCAGCGAGUGAGGCACAGAGAAGAUGGCAGACUGAAACAGGAAAUGCCAGCAUACCAGCGGUGGUGCGCGCUGACCGUGGGGACUGGCUGGUUUUCUCACACACCAGAACCUCCCUCUGAAUUCCAGAGCAUGCCUCUGCUGAGAUAGCGGAAUGCUAAGACCUGUACUCCAGCAUCAUUUCAUCUGGGCAGAAAGAAACAGACGUGGCCUACUGCUGAACCGUGGCACGUGGCAGCCUCUGUGAGCAACAUGGGUCUCCCACCAGUGAUCUCUAGCUUCUCUUAGCUGUCCCUGGGAGGAAGCAUUUCCGUUUCUUAGCAUUAUGGCAAUGUCCCCUGAUAGGCAGUUUAGCUUUCUCUAGGUGGAGCUACUCCUGUCUCUGCUUCCAGCAAGAUCCCAGGCUUUGCUCAGGUUUUCUUACACCCAACAACUGAGACACAGGUCUAGAAAGGAGAAAUGUGUACAAACUCAGUAUCCAUCACUGACAGUCUGGUGUGUGCCAGUCCAGAGCUGCAGUUUGGGCGGUUUACUCCUGAGGCAGAUGCUUCUGGUUACAUAUCCAAUAGUCAUCCCUACUGUCCUUAGCGUCACUGUUGUGAUGAACCACCAUCACUAAGAACAGCCGUGGGGAGGAAAGGGUUUACUUAUGCUUACAUUCCAGGCCAAGUCCAUCACUGAGGGAAGAAGCCAGGACAUGAACUUCAGCAGGAACUGACGUAGAAGCCUUGCUGAAACAUUUCCUGUGAUCUGUGUCCAUCCAGGACCGCCUGGCUGCAACCGGCACUACUCAGAGCGGUGACUCUUGGUUGUGCCAAACUGACAAUAAAAGCAACCAGGACACUCACUUCUUCUUCCUUUCGGAUGGAAUCAACCUCCUACCAUAGGCGUUGACGUUGGCUUAUACAGAAUAUACACACUUCCUGGAAUGGCUGACUUUGUGACUCUCAGUCCCAGCUCUCACUAACUGUGACCUCUGGCAAGUCUUUUCUCUACCCUCCUCUCAUCUGUGAUUGGACAUAACACUUCCUGCUAGAAUCCUGCUCGACUCCUAGUCCCACCUAUCUUACUUCCCUAUUGGUCAACAGUGCUUUAUUCAACAACCAAUAAGAGACAGAUUUACAGAAUGACAUCUCCCAUCAGGUUGGACUUUGCUAUAGAUCAAGAGGAACAGAUCCUGUAUUGAAUAAAUGAUGUUGGACCAAUUACAUAGGAUUUAGAAAAACACAAAACAAAACAAAAAUCUUGACCUCUACAUAUCACAAAUGAAUCCCAGGUAGCCUGAAUGUGAGAAGGGAAAGACUUUUCUAGAUGUAUGACUGUGUGUCAUGCUGUUUGUUUGUUUUGCCGUGGCUUUGGGUAAGCAAAGCUAAAUGGAACAUUGCAAAGUACACACUGUAGUGAAGGUUGAGAGGUUAAACUGCGCAGAUGUUAGCACCUUUUGUUCAUCCAAGGGAGUUGUUAUAAAUCAGGAAAGCUCCCGGCAGUGGUGGCGCACUUGGGAGUGGGAGGCAGAGGCAGGUAGAUCUCUGUGAGUUCUGGGCCAGCCUGGCCUACAGAGUGAGUUCCAGGACAGCCAAGAAUACACAGAAAACCCCUGUCUCGGGGGAAAAAAACUGGGAAGGCACAGCACAGAGUGAGAAGAUGCUCUCGGCACAUACAGCAAGGGGCUCGUUCCAGAAACAGCCUUGUGCCAAGAAGAAAGAUAAUUUUGUUGUUGGUUUUUGUUUGCUUGUUUUAUUUUUUUGAGAACAGGGUCUCACUCUGUACACCAGGCUGCCUUGGAACCCACAGAGGUCCACCUGUCUCUGCAUCCCAAAUCCUGGGUUAAAGGCAUGGACUUCCACACCCAGCAAGUAAAAAGACUUUCAAAAAUGAAUAAGAGGUAUCUGGAAAGAUGACUCAACAGAUAAGUGCCCUGGCUGAUCUUCCAAGGACGCAGGUUCCAUUGUGAGCCCUCACAUGGCAGUUGACAACAGACUGUAGCUCCAUUCCCAGGGAUCCCACACCCUAUUCUGUUCUCAUCAGGGACAAAGCAUGAGCAUGACGCACAGUCAUACAUCCAGGCAAAGCACUCAUGCACAUAAAAAUAAUGAAGUAAUGGAAAGGAAAAAGACGAUUCCGCUGGACACUCAACAUCCAUAAAUUGUAAGGAGCUGACCUGGUUGUUUACUGGCCAGGGAUGCUUAACACCACCAAGAGACAACUCCCCACACUGCCAGAAAGAAGAUAAAAAGACGGAGAGUUCCAAGCAUGGAGCCACUAGACCUCUCGGAUCCACUUCUGGGAAAAUCGGAGAACUUCUGGUAAAGUUAAAAGACACAUGAUUAUAAUGUUAGGCUAACCACAUGCUGUCUCCCAUGUGAGAAGUGUUCGUGACUAUAAAACAGAGUGGACUAUGGGUUAGAACUUAGGGUAGUGCUUAUGUAGGGAGGAAGGGUAGGGCUCUAGGGAGGCUGCUGGUGGCCGGUCUGGGAUGCCUUCAUUUGAGAUGAUUUGUUAAGCAGUAACCAUUUAUUACUCAUCCCGUGUGCAUAUGUAAGAGGUGGUGGGUGCUGUGCUCUCCCUUCUUCUCACCCCCUUGUGAAUGCUGCCCACACUGGAAGGAACUUUUGUUCCCUAGCUAGCUCAGGGGUCAGCAUAGUCCAUGAAUGCAGUGGGUGUUUUGCAAGUCCAUCCUAAGAGUUCAGGGUAGGGCUCUGUUGUGCCAAAGCCAGCUGCUCUCCCGUUGAUUGACAGAGUCCAGUCCACGUCAGGGCUUCCCAGCUCACCAAAGCUGUGCCACGUUUACACUUCCACGAGAAGGGCCCCAGCCACCGGGUGGGCCUCAGCUCCAAAGCUGGAGUAUCUGCCCUUCUCUAUCCCAUAUCCGACUCCCACCAUCUGGAUGCAGCAUUUGGCAGGGAGCUAGAGAAAAAACCUGCUGGGACCACAAUACCCUGAGCAGGAGGCAAAAUCAAGCCUAGACUAGCAGAGAACUAUACUCUGGCUAAACACUAACUACUUUCCUAAUUGUAGAUGCUGAAACUGACAAAUGGCAUACACCUGUUGGUGUUUGAGGCGGAUUCAUUUGUUUAAUUAAAUUGUUAAUGGCAUCAACAUGUGUGAGCACCGUGCCUAGCUCCAGAUGGGAGCGCCCAUCGUUAUAAAGUUAAGCAAUAACAACAUUUUGAUUUGUGGGUGUGGUAUAAUUCUGAGAAAAAUAUUAUUUUAUGAGAACUAUUAUUGUAAUGUUUUUGUAUAUGUGAUCAAUAAUAACAAUAAACAUUAAAAUAAAAACCUGGGCCUAGAGAACUGGCUCAGCAGUUAAGAGCACGUGCUGUUCUUGCAGAGUAUGGGGAUUUGGUUCUCAAAACUCAGCACAGCCAUGUGUAAGUCCAGUUCUAGGGGAC